This is a non-coding RNA of Ceratotherium simum simum (southern white rhinoceros), 369 nucleotides long. NCBI's taxonomy places the organism in Eukaryota, Metazoa, Chordata, Mammalia, Perissodactyla, Rhinocerotidae. The record is from RefSeq and is a predicted model, not a curated record.
AAGGCAGCCAAGAGGAGGCCUCAGACACCACAAGACCCAGAGGGUGGGAUCAGCCUGCACCCCUAUAAAUAAAAGAAGACUGAACCCCUAGGCUGGUGACCUAUCUGGGUCACACUGCAAGGGGAGUGGGGUGCAGGAGGGCUGGUGGAGAGAGGAGAUAAUGAGAAGGACUGAAAGGAAAGAGGGGAGAGAGAGAGAGUCAGGAUGGGGUGUCUCUUCAGCCCCCCGAAAUCCAGGAACUGAGGAGAGUCUCAGGCCAACACCUGCCUCUUGGGGGUGACUUCCCGCUGGGGCCCCAGCUGGGUCUGGGCCUGAGCUAGGGGGCCAGGGACGGACAGGGCCAGUGGCUGGGCAGGCAGGGGCCCGGGG